RNAcentral lists this ribosomal RNA (452 nucleotides) under uncultured Alphaproteobacteria bacterium. RNAcentral describes it as "bacterial SSU rRNA". It matches the Rfam family "Bacterial small subunit ribosomal RNA", at positions 328 to 797 of the family's 1533-position model. Lineage: Bacteria; Pseudomonadati; Pseudomonadota; Alphaproteobacteria. The record is from RNAcentral.
UCUCUAUGCGCCUACGGGAGGCAGCAGUGGGGAAUCUUAGACAAUGGGCGCAAGCCUGAUCUAGCCAUGCCGCGUGUGUGAUGAAGGCCUUAGGGUCGUAAAGCACUUUCGCCAGGGAUGAUAAUGACAGUACCUGGUAAAGAAACCCCGGCUAACUCCGUGCCAGCAGCCGCGGUAAUACGGAGGGGGUUAGCGUUGUUCGGAAUUACUGGGCGUAAAGCGUACGUAGGCGGAUCAGAAAGUAAGGGGUGAAAUCCCAGGGCUCAACCCUGGAACUGCCUCUUAAACUCCUGGUCUUGAGUUCGAGAGAGGUGAGUGGAAUUCCGAGUGUAGAGGUGAAAUUCGUAGAUAUUCGGAGGAACACCAGUGGCGAAGGCGGCUCACUGGCUCGAUACUGACGCUGAGGUACGAAAGUGUGGGGAGCAAACAGGAUUAGAUACCCUAGUAGUCCA